RNAcentral lists this small nuclear RNA (106 nucleotides) under Microcebus murinus (gray mouse lemur). The record is from RNAcentral. Lineage: Eukaryota; Metazoa; Chordata; Mammalia; Primates; Cheirogaleidae.
GUGCUCGCUUCGGCAGCACGUAUGCUAACAUUGCAAUGAUACAGAGAAGAUUAGCAUGGCCCCUGCAAAGGGUGACACGCAAAUUUGCGGAGUGUUCUGUAUUUUU